UUACGGCCAUAUCGCGUUGAAACACCGGUUCUCGUACGAUCACCGAAGUUAAGUUAAGCAACACUGAGCCUGGUCAAUACCUCGAUGGAUGACCGCUUGGGAAUACCAGGUACUGUAAU
Molecule: non-coding RNA, 119 nt
Organism: Acanthosepion pharaonis
Lineage: Eukaryota; Metazoa; Mollusca; Cephalopoda; Sepiida; Sepiidae
Source: the annotation of a GenBank genome assembly